RNAcentral lists this ribosomal RNA (270 nucleotides) under uncultured bacterium. Its description in RNAcentral is "partial 16S ribosomal RNA". It matches the Rfam family "Bacterial small subunit ribosomal RNA", at positions 30 to 296 of the family's 1533-position model. The record is from RNAcentral.
AUUGAACGCUGGCGGCGUGCCUAACACAUGCAAGUCGAGCGGUAACAGGUGUAGCAAUACAUGCUGACGAGCGGCGAACGGGUGAGUAAUGCUUUGGAAUCUUCCCAGUAGUGGGGAAUAACCAGUCGAAAGAUUGGCUAAUACCGCAUACGUCUGUAAAGGGAAAGCGGGGCGUCGUAAGACCUCGCGCUAUUGGAUGAGCAAAGUACGGAUUAGCUAGUUGGUGGGGUAAGNGGCCGUACCAAGGCGACAAUCCGUAGCUGGUCUGAG